AUAGGUUUGGUCCCAGCCUUCCUGUUAACUUUCAAUAGAAUUAUACAUGCAAGCAUCCACGCCCCGGUGAGUAACGCCCUUCGAAUCACACAGGACUAAAAGGAGCAGGUAUCAAGCACACACUCUUGUAGCUCACAACGCCUUGCUUAACCACACCCCCACGGGAGACAGCAGUAACAAAAAUUAAGCCAUAAACGAAAGUUUGACUAAGCCAUAUUGACCAGGGUUGGUAAAUCUCGUGCCAGCCACCGCGGUCAUACGAUUGACCCAAGCUAACAGGAGUACGGCGUAAAGCGUGUUAAAGCAUCAUACUAAAUAGAGUUAAAUUUUAAUUAAACUGUAAAAAGCCAUAAUUAUAACAAAAAUAAAUGACGAAAGUAACCCUACAAUAGCUGAUACACCAUAGCUAAGACCCAAACUGGGAUUAGAUACCCCACUAUGCUUAGCCCUAAACACAAAUAAUUAU
This 466-nucleotide ribosomal RNA is filed under the name Ovis aries (sheep). RNAcentral describes it as "partial 12S ribosomal RNA". Lineage: Eukaryota; Metazoa; Chordata; Mammalia; Artiodactyla; Bovidae. The record is from RNAcentral.